Molecule: long non-coding RNA, 1693 nt
Filed under: Brachypodium distachyon (stiff brome)
Lineage: Eukaryota; Viridiplantae; Streptophyta; Magnoliopsida; Poales; Poaceae
Description: long non-coding RNA (BDIS_LNC002738)
Source: RNAcentral
CUCGGGAAUCACUUGGCAGUCAUCAGGGUAAAGUGGUUCCUCGGGCUUUUUGGCCAUCCGAGUCUCAUCUUCGAUGGGGUUGGUUCGCAGUCCUGCAGGUACAUUGAAAUUUAAACUCCUCGAAAUUCUGUAGUAGCCAAGACACAAGUUCACAUGGCAUGUAUCAACCAUAAGGCAUCAAUGCAUGUUAAAUGAAUUUGGAUAAAAUAGAGUGAUGAUGCAGCAAUCUGCAAUCAGCAUCUACCACCAUGUUUAAAAGAUUCUGAGCAAAGAGCAGCACAAAUUACGAAAACAAGAUGAGCAAUUCACCGGAACAAAUCAAGGCAUCCGUCAUGGAACGAGAACUACUGACCGACUAAAACGAACCACCGAUCCCGAAGUUUGAGUCGACGUCAAGCAAAAUGGAUGGCCCUAGGUGUCAGGCAUAGGCCUCGACGCUGCUCCUUAACCGCGGCCUCGACGCUCUUGGUCGCCGCUUCGCCGUCGCGUGCCGCAGCCUCCACUCCGGUGGCCGUGGCCGCGAGCCGCCCCUUGCCGCGGUGUGUCAUGGAGCCGUCCUUUACCUCCAGCUCCACAGUCCUCGCGACCUAGGGCCCGCCCAUGCGCUCCGCCGUCGCUGAGAGCCUCACCAGCGCGCCGCCACCGUCGGAUCGAUUCAGUCGGUGUGGAGGGACCACGAUGCCCACGCCACCAUAACGGGCAUACGGUGCUGCCACGGCUAGCAGCGCCGCCGCCUGCAUCUCCAAAGGCGCGGCGAAGCUCCUCCGCAGCCGCCGCCACGGGCCGGUGAGGGUUUAGAUUCCUUUGCCUGCCCAGUACUUCCUCGCCCUUCGUCUCCUCCGUCUAUUGCAUAUCCAAUGGCUUAGAUUCCUUUGGGUGAGUAUUUAAAAACUAUGAGGUUCUGGUCAUUUUCAACCUGAACUUUGCCCAAAUUUGACAGUGUUUCUCUAGAAAACAAUCGAGAGUGUCUAUUUCUCACUCGUCUAAGAAAUAGUUAUUUCUCAGUCGACAAUCAUAGCCAUCCAAUGAAAAUUUUCUUAUUCGUUGGACUUACAUUAAUCUUACACAAAUCUCAAUGAUUGAAUCAAAAGGUUGUUAUCGUGUCGCUUGAGAAAUAGCAAAACCGAAAACAAUCAGUGUAAAUUUAUGUGAUGACGAAUAUUUUGGCCUGAAUCUGGUUCACCGGUUGGACGAGGCACCGCUCCAUAAAAUACGGAAACUAAUAUAGACAAUAUAAGAGUUUGCACUCUUUUCAUUUUGAUUCAGUAAACACAUCUGAAGUCACAAAAGGUUACAUAAAUAAGUACUGUUUUAUUACACCGUAUAAGGACUAGUAAUUCCACUAAAAGUUAGCACAUACAAAGCCCAUGCCAUAUGAGUUUUUUUUUUAGAUCAAGGGCUUUUCGCCCCUGUUCCAUUCAUCGAUGAUGAACAAAACAUCAUAGUGUCGUGCCAUAUGAGUUUUGCAUGAACAACUAGAAUGAGAUGGAAUAUACUGUAGAUGGUUUUAGUCUCAUCCGGUACCGAUAGUUACUAGGAGUACUCCGUAUAAUCUUUCUUUUCCUUGUUCCAAGCCAAGCCAGUACCUUUUGCAGCUUUAGCACUGAAAACAUGAUUGGCCCGACGCACGCCGACGGGGCCCAUCACGGCAGCGGCAGCGGCAGCAUAUUCGCCACGGGAACAACAUGUACCU